AUUGAACGCUGGCGGCAGGCCUAACACAUGCAAGUCGAACGCGUGGCGCACGGGUGAGUAAUGUCUGGGAAACUGCCUGAUGGAUGGGGAUAACUACUGGAAACGGUAGCUAAUACCGCAUACCAUCAGAUGUGCCCAGAUGGGAUAAGCUAGUUGGUGGGGUAACGGCUUACCACGGCGCCGAUCCAUAGCUGGUCUGAGAGGAUGAACCGCCACACUGGAACUGAGACACGGUCCAGACUCCUACGGGAGGCAGCAGUGGGUAAUAUUGCACAAUGGGCGAAAGCCUGAUGGAGCCAGGCCGCGUGUAUGAAGAAGGCCUUCGGGUUGUAAAGUACUUUCAGCGGGGAGGCGUUACCCGAAGAAGAAGCACCGGCUAACUCCGUGCCAGCAGCCGCGGUAAUAC
Molecule: ribosomal RNA, 406 nt
Filed under: uncultured bacterium
Lineage: Bacteria
Description: partial 16S ribosomal RNA
Rfam family: Bacterial small subunit ribosomal RNA
Source: RNAcentral